This 427-nucleotide ribosomal RNA is filed under the name uncultured bacterium. RNAcentral describes it as "bacterial SSU rRNA". It matches the Rfam family "Bacterial small subunit ribosomal RNA", at positions 356 to 774 of the family's 1533-position model. The record is from RNAcentral.
GGGGAAUAUUGCGCAAUGGGGGAAACCCUGACGCAGCGACGCCGUGUGAGGGAAGAAGGCUCUCGGGUCGUAAACCUCUGUCGGGAAGGAAGAACCUCUCAGGGCUGAACAAGCCCUGGGACUGACGGUACUUCCAAAGGAAGCACCGGCUAACUCCGUGCCAGCAGCCGCGGUAAUACGGAGGGUGCAAGCGUUAAUCGGAAUCACUGGGCGUAAAGCGCGCGUAGGCCGUCUUUUAAGUCGGACGUGAAAGCCCUCGGCUCAACCGGGGAACUGCGUUCGAUACUGGGAGACUUGAGUCCUGGAGAGGGUGGCGGAAUUCCGGGUGUAGGAGUGAAAUCCGUAGAUAUCCGGAGGAACACCGGUGGAGAAGGCGGCCACCUGGACAGGUACUGACGCUGAGGCGCGAAAGCGUGGGGAGCAAACA